CCUCCUAUCGCGCCGAGCUCCAUCCAGUAGGCAGGGGACACCGAAGUGGAUGGAGACGGGGGACCCACCGGUCCACCGUGAUCGGACCGGGGCCGCUUGCGGCCCCUUGGGGUGAAGCCGACGUCGCUCCCAUGCGGAAGACGCCGGCCGGGUGGCCUCUCCAACCCGAACCCGACAGCUGACCUCGCAGGCGCCUUACGAGAGAGGAA
Molecule: small RNA, 209 nt
Filed under: Mycobacterium sp.
Lineage: Bacteria; Bacillati; Actinomycetota; Actinomycetes; Mycobacteriales; Mycobacteriaceae
Description: c-di-AMP sequence
Rfam family: c-di-AMP riboswitch aptamer (ydaO/yuaA leader)
About the family: This family represents a conserved RNA structure found upstream of the ydaO and yuaA genes in Bacillus subtilis and related genes in other bacteria. The ydaO/yuaA element is thought to act as a genetic "off" switch for the ydaO and yuaA genes in its native state. It is believed that the element may be triggered during osmotic shock leading to activation of ydaO, a predicted amino acid transporter gene, and members of the yuaA-yubG operon which code for KtrA and KtrB K+ transporters.
Source: RNAcentral